RNAcentral lists this ribosomal RNA (594 nucleotides) under Plagiostoma euphorbiae. RNAcentral's name for it is "LSU rRNA". It matches the Rfam family "Eukaryotic large subunit ribosomal RNA", at positions 13 to 629 of the family's 3401-position model. Lineage: Eukaryota; Fungi; Ascomycota; Sordariomycetes; Diaporthales; Gnomoniaceae. The record is from RNAcentral.
AGGUAGGAAUACCCGUUGAACUUAAGCAUAUCAAUAAGCGGAGGAAAAGAAACCAACAGGGAUUGCCCUAGUAACGGCGAGUGAAGCGGCAACAGCUCAAAUUUGAAAUCUGGCUUCGGCCCGAGUUGUAAUUUGCAGAGGAUGUUUAUGGUGCGGUACCUUCCGAGUUCCCUGGAACGGGACGCCACAGAGGGUGAGAGCCCCGUCUGGUUGGAUACCAAACCUGUGUUAAACUCCUUCAACGAGUCGAGUAGUUUGGGAAUGCUGCUCUAAAUGGGAGGUAAAUCUCUUCUAAAGCUAAAUACUGGCCAGAGACCGAUAGCGCACAAGUAGAGUGAUCGAAAGAUGAAAAGCACCUUGAAAAGGGGGUUAAACAGUACGUGAAAUUGUUGAAAGGGAAGCGUUUAUGACCAGACUUGUGUCGUGUGGCUCAUCCGAGGUUCUCCCCGGUGCACUCCACACGGCUCAGGCCAACAUCGGUUCUUGUUGGAGGAUAAGAACAGUAGGAACGUAGCUCUCCUUCGGGGGAGUGUUAUAGCCUAUUGUACGAUACUCUGACGGGGACCGAGGACCGCGCUUCGGCUAGGAUGUUGG